GGAGGCGCAGCUCAUAUGGAGGAGCACUCGCUUAGCGUGCGAGAGGUACGGGGAUCAAAACCCCGCGCCUCCA
Non-coding RNA from Trichonephila inaurata madagascariensis, 73 nucleotides. The record is from the annotation of a GenBank genome assembly. Lineage: Eukaryota; Metazoa; Arthropoda; Arachnida; Araneae; Nephilidae.